Molecule: RNA transcript, 659 nt
Organism: Helicoverpa armigera (cotton bollworm)
Lineage: Eukaryota; Metazoa; Arthropoda; Insecta; Lepidoptera; Noctuidae
Exons: 2
Source: RefSeq, a predicted model, not a curated record
UAAUACUAUAAGAACAGUAAUAACAAAAACAUAGCUUCGUAAAUUGCAAAUGAUAGCAGCUGUUGGAUAAGGGAAUUCACAUACAGCAUCCCAGUUCACUCGCCACUAAUUAACUGAGAACCUCUUAUCAACCGUUUUGCGGUCACAAACUGACUCAUCACAACCUUAUUCUGUACUGCAUAAAGGCCAAAAUUGUAUGAGAUGUUAUUUAAGAGAUGCAAAAGUAAGUUUGUUGUGUUAAAUAAAGUUGGUAUAAAUAUGCUAUAAUCGUUGGUAGAGCAUCAUUCGUAGCCAUUGCACUUCAGUGUUAUUUUGAAUCAAGAAUUAUUUGAAUAAAUUAUUAUUUUAUUUUAAUAAUUAAAUAAAUAACUAUUAAAAUGAACUUCUCAAGAAUAUUUUUGUUCGUGUUCGCGUGUUUGGUGGCAGCGUGCAGCGUGUCGGCCGCGCCCGAGCCCAGGUGGAAGGUCUUCAAGAAAAUUGAGAAGGUGGGCCGUAACAUCAGGGAUGGUAUCGUCAAAGCUGGACCAGCGAUAGCAGUCCUCGGUGAAGCCAAAGCCUUAGGAUAAAAAUCUAUAAUAAUAUGUAAUAGUAUUACUAAUUAAGAUUUAAGUCGCAUUUAAAUACUCAUUCUGCCAUAAUAAAUAUUUUUUAAGUACUUA